This is a small nuclear RNA of Gracilinanus agilis (Agile Gracile Mouse Opossum), 103 nucleotides long. The record is from RefSeq and is a predicted model, not a curated record. Lineage: Eukaryota; Metazoa; Chordata; Mammalia; Didelphimorphia; Didelphidae.
CUGCUUCAGCAGCAUGUAUAAUAAAAUUGGAACUAUACAAAGAAGAUUAGCAUGGCCCCUGCACAAGGAAGACAUGCAAAUUCCUGAAGCAUUCCAUAUUUAA